RNAcentral lists this long non-coding RNA (731 nucleotides) under Physcomitrium patens. RNAcentral's name for it is "long non-coding RNA (PPAT_LNC001646)". Lineage: Eukaryota; Viridiplantae; Streptophyta; Bryopsida; Funariales; Funariaceae. The record is from RNAcentral.
UGGACUCCGCCCACGGUACUUGGCUAGUGGAGUAGGCCAAGCGCGAGCUUCAGUGAAAGGAAUUGAAAGUACGAAGAGCCUUUUCAUUGCAAAAUGCGAGCACCUUGAACAACAUCCAUAGUUCUCACGUAAGGCUAAUCUUUGGUUGAGGUACAUGGUCGUUCAGAAGCCCGUCAGGUCUUUCGAAGACCAAGCGACGAGGAAAUAAUCGAAAGUUUCUCACGGUCAAUGGAACGACGGCAUGGAUGCGUGCAUGUACGCACAUCAUUGGGCUGCAUAAGAGCAAUCCAAGACCCAAUAUUGGAUAUAGGAUCCCAGUCAUACGUUACAGUUUGUACUUUUCUUUUCUCUCCUUUUCUUCAAUGGGUCAAGAUGGGAAUGCUUAAGGGCAUCAAGGGAAAGACCUGAAAGAGGAAAGAAAAGGAGAAAAGCUACUUUUCAUAGAAAAUCACUUUGCCAAACACCUUAGGUUGAUCAAACGGGACAUGUGGUCUACAUGUGAAGCCAUGUGCACUGAACCCAUUCUGCUGCUUUGAUGAUAUUGGAGUAUCUGCUCAUCCUGUCACUGGAUCAAAAGCUGUGGAUGUAUGGAAAUUGAAUGAGGGUAAUGUUUUCCACUGCAAGACAACAGAAACAGAUAUGUGCACAAAAUGCUCAAUAUGAAUCAAGUUCCACAAACUGUAAAUUUUCAUACAAACUAAAAAAGAUCUCAUGCUUAUUGUAAGACAUAU